UAGUCACAACAAGCGGGGUCUAGUUCCCUGACCAGGGAUUGAACCUGGGCCCCCUGCUUUGGGAGUAUGGAGUCUUAGCCACUGGACCCCCAGGGAAGUCCCCUCUUCUCCUUACAAGGAUCCGUUUGAUUAUAAUAGGCCCACUCAGAUAAUGCAAAAUAAUCGCUCCAGCUCAAGACCCUGAACUUAAUCUCACCUGCAAAGUCCCUUGUGCCAUGGAAGGGAGCAUCUGGGCAUUAGGUUCUGGGCAUUAGGAUGUGGACAUUGUGGGGGGCAUUAUUCUGCCAACUACACCUUCCCUUGCCAUUAAAAAUUCUUCUGCAGCAUCCUUUUUGACAGCUGCAUAGUAUUCCAUCUAUUCAUUCAUUCAACAAGUAUUUGCUGACUACUUAUUAUGUGACCAUCUAUCUCAUCCUCCCCCUCAUGGCCCAUGUGGACCAGUGUGGUCACCUGCAUCCUCUCAACCCCCACAGCACGUGGUUUCUUGCAGCAGCCACUGCACCUGUGAGCACCUGACUCAGGCCCCACCCCUCCUCUACCCACAGCCCUCCAGGACUCCCAUUUCCCUUGGGAUAAAAGUCCACAUCCUCCCAUCGCCCAUAAGCUCCUGCACAACCUGCCCCAUCCUCUCCCUGCCCUCCUCUCCUUCUUCUCUCCUUCCCCCUCACUCUGUUCCAGUCACAUGGGCCUGCUCACUGUCCCUCCGCCAUACGAGGAAACGUGUUGAAAUUACAAACAAAUGAAUAGCUGCUCAGAGGAGAGAAAAUACCAAGGGAUGGCGUGAAAAUACCUGGUUAUGGGGAUGGAGUAACACAGGUCCAGUGGUUAAGAUUCCGCCUGCUGGGGCUUCCCUAGUGGCUCAGUAGUGAAGAGUCC
Bubalus bubalis (water buffalo) is the source of this 876-nucleotide long non-coding RNA. RefSeq lists it as uncharacterized. Lineage: Eukaryota; Metazoa; Chordata; Mammalia; Artiodactyla; Bovidae. The record is from RefSeq and is a predicted model, not a curated record. The transcript is spliced from 3 exons.